UACGAAGGGUGCUAGCGUUGCUCGGAAUCACUGGGCGUAAAGGGUGCGUAGGCGGGUCUUUAUGUCAGGGGUGAAAUCCUGGAGCUCAACUCCAGAACUGCCUUUGAUACUGAAGAUCUUGAGUUCGGGAGAGGUGAGUGGAACUGCGAGUGUAGAGGUGAAAUUCGUAGAUAUUCGCAAGAACACCAGUGGCGAAGGCGGCUCACUGGCCCGAUACUGACGCUGAGGCACGAAAGCGUGGGGAGCAAACAGG
RNAcentral lists this ribosomal RNA (253 nucleotides) under uncultured bacterium. RNAcentral's name for it is "partial 16S ribosomal RNA". It matches the Rfam family "Bacterial small subunit ribosomal RNA", at positions 524 to 776 of the family's 1533-position model. The record is from RNAcentral.